Molecule: long non-coding RNA, 948 nt
Organism: Oncorhynchus kisutch (coho salmon)
Lineage: Eukaryota; Metazoa; Chordata; Actinopteri; Salmoniformes; Salmonidae
Exons: 2
Source: RefSeq, a predicted model, not a curated record
AGCCUACGGCUCACAAAAUGUCAGUGAUCGCAUCGGAAGUUAGAGGUAACAUCCAUUUUCUAUUUCUUCAAUCUUGACAUAUUGCAGGACGUCAUGACGAACGUUCCGACGCCAACUGGUUUGGAGAGCGCGGUGGCAGAGAGAGCAACUCUUCCACGUCGCCAUUCAAGCGUUUGUCGGAACUUAUUUGGACCCGUCGACCAUAAUGCUCUGAACCGCGAGUUGAAGGCGAAGCUGAAGGAAAUAUCUGAACGAGACCAGCGUCGAUGGAAUUUCCACUUCGAGACAGACGCACCGAUUCCCGGGAUUUAUGAAUGGGAAGGAAUGUCAGCGGAGUCGAUGCCUGCCUUCUACCAGGUGUCGGAAGUUGGCGGACGCAGAUUUGUUCCCGAGGAGAAGAUCAAUGUCUGAGAUGACUAGCCCCCAGCACAAUUCUUCUCUCAAUUCCCCUUGAAGAAACGAGGGAACCUUUCGAUUAACCACGCUGACAAAUGCUACCAUCUGCUACCAUCUGCCGCUUCUGCAGUUAAUAUUUUCCAUCUCGGGCCAAAAGAUGGAGUAACCCUCUCAAAUAAGCAACAUAUGUUUAUGCCAAAGUAACAAUGUAUUUAAAAAAGAAUAAUUCAAUUAACUUGUGUUAAUUUAUUACGUGUGAUUGUUUGAAAUGGCAUCUGUGAAAGACAAUUUUGGUGACUUUCUGCUCACUUAAUUGCAUUAGUGAGCCCUCAAAUGAUACUUAAGCUUAAUUUGCUACAUAGGUUAUCUGCCUUUUUCAAUUAUUUUCCAUUGGACAAAAGAUGUAACCCACAUGAUGGCCUAGGUUUUUUGCCAAAGUAACAAUGUUUUUAAAUUAUUUGAUUUCAACUAAUUUAUGUUUUAAUUCAAUUUAAGUUUUCUGCGAUUGUUUAAAUGGUAGCUGGGGAAACUAUUAAAACAAUGUAGUUUACA